CUCGGUCGCGACAGUUAAUAUUGUUUAAUUAUUACUUAACUGUUUUAUUAAAUUCUGAAAUGUUUAUUAAAUGCUGUUUAUGCAAAUGAAACCCUACUAUGCCAUCCUUUGUUAUCCUGUGCACUUGCAUAUUUGCUGUGUGGCUGUCGUCAGCUCAUGUCGUGAGAUGUUUGGUCAAGUCCUAUAACGAGCGAAACCCUCGUUUUGUGUUGCUGAGACAUGCGCCUAAGGAGAAAUUGUGGUACGUAGUGGUAAUAGUACACGCCCCGCUCCGAAACAAAGAAAAAGGUGCGUGCCGCACUCACGAAGGACUGCCAGUGAGAUACUGGAGGAAGGUGGGGAUGACGUCAAGUCCGCAUGGCCCUUAUGGGCUAGGCCACACACGUGCUACAAUGGCAAUGACAAUGGGAAGCAAGGCUGUAAGGCGGAGCGAAUCCGGAAAGAUUGCCUCAGUCCGGAUUGUUCUCUGUAACUCGGGAACAUGAAGUUGAAAUCGCUAGUAAUCGCGGAUCAGCAUGCCGCGGUGAAUAUGUACCCGGG
This 540-nucleotide non-coding RNA is filed under the name Oryza sativa Japonica Group (Japanese rice). RNAcentral describes it as "Bacterial small subunit ribosomal RNA". It matches the Rfam family "Bacterial small subunit ribosomal RNA", at positions 966 to 1378 of the family's 1533-position model. The record is from Rfam by way of RNAcentral. Lineage: Eukaryota; Viridiplantae; Streptophyta; Magnoliopsida; Poales; Poaceae.